AUGGACAGGUUCCAGAUGCUACAACUGCUAUUUUGUAUUAAUCUUACUUCAGCACUCAUGUCUUUUUGUUUCUCUCAUAGAAGUGCCCACCCCAGGUGACUUUACAUCCUGUUCUUCCUGAGCCAGAUUUUUACCAUGGACUCCUUGACCCACUCAGUUUCUAAAAAGGGACUCCAAACUGCUUGCUGUCUGCACAUCGCCCCCUUUCAGCUGGAAGUAGCAAGAACAGUCAUCGCCCUUUUCCCUUACAGCAGUUGGAGGUCCCUAAUAUUAGAAGAAAAAUUACGGUCAAUGUAGAUGUUUGCCAACAUGUCUAGCUCAGGAAGAUGUACCUGGAAACUGCUCCCAAGAUCACCCUGGGUGAUCUCCCAGAAAGAGACACUUGCUUCCACAACCCAACUUAUAAGUGGAAAAAACUCCCUGUUCACCAAAAAUUGUGCUUUCCAGGUCCCGCUUUGAACUCCUUGACUAAAUCUCUAAACUGUCAAUAACUCUGAACUAUGUAACCUACUAUUUUGAUGGAGUAAAGGGAAAAGAACACCUGGACUUAUAAUGGGGUAUUGUUUCUGUAACUAGGGUAACGGUGCUCUGUUUCUGUAACUGGGGUGACUGGGCUAACUGUGAUUGGUUAGGCUUCCCUCCGCUUGACUGCACUCUCCCGCUUCUGUAACCUGGCUUGCUUGCAUUGGCUAGACCAGCUGAACAUCCCUUUUGCGGUUUUCAGGCUUAUAAGAGUGCCCUUGCAAUUGUUCGGGGCUGAUCAGGGGAACAGCUUUAUGUUCUGGUCAGCCGCCACCGGUGUGCUUCAAUAAAGGCUGGAAGUCAGUUUAUGGAACCCUGGGACGAAGCUUUAACUAUAAUAGCACCACCUAGAACAUGUGGAAUAAGGCAGGGCUCUACAGAAAAGGGGUGAAGUUGCCUCUGGAAUAAGGGUUGGCAAACUUUUCUGUAAUGGACCAGAUAGUAAUUUUUUUGAGGGGGCUUUAUGGGCUACAAAACAUCUUUGCUGUCUAUUCCUUUCCUAAGCUUUCUCAUUUCUGUACUGAGGAAUAAGUGCUGAGAGUUGAAUCAAAACUGAACAAAAAAGGACAGUAGGGAUAAAGGAAAGAGGGAAAGAAGAAAAACAGGGAAGGAUGGCAAGAGCAUGUUUUAGAAAGUAUGAAGGCCACAUUUCUAAUUACAAAACAAUAAAACUGAAGGCGCCCUAGAAAGGUGAAGUUGGAAAAAAGGAGAAAAAAAAUCCUUCAGUGAGAGCCAUAAGAAGACAUGCUCACAGAAGAGAUGGAAACCACAACCUAAUAUUUUAAGGCAACUAAAAUAAAGCAAGAAAAUGAAAAAAAGCAAUAUCAAAAAAGCAACACAAAUCAAAGGUGGAAGAAAUCAGAAAUGAGGUAUUUGAAAAACAGGAAUAUUUGUAAAUAUAGGUAACAGAAUUACCUCAGAAAAGAAUUAGAAAUUUAAAAAAUCAUUUCAGAAACUAAGGUUAAAUUAUCUACAAUAAAAGAACAAAUAAAUAUAUUAUCUUUUUUUUUUUUUUGCAUGCUGGGGAUUAAACCCCAGGCUCUAUCACAAAGUUUUACUCCAGCCCAUAUAUUCAUUUUUUCUCAAAACUAAGACAGCUUUAUUGUCAUUUAUUAUAAAAGUAAAACAUAUUACCAUAAAAUUAAAGUAACAUAAAGUAUAAAGGAAUAUAAAUAUCACCAGAAUAUAAAUAUCACCAGAAUAUAAAUACCAUUGCACAGAGAUAUUGUUAAUAUUGUUAAUAUUUUGGAAAACGACCUCCCCCAGGGAGAAAACUUGACAUAUUUAUUUUUUUAAAAAUUUUUAGUUGUAGAUGGACACAUACCUUUAGUUUAUUUAUUUUUAUGUGGAGCUGAGGAUUGAACUUAGUACCUCUCACAUGCAAGGCAUGCACUGUACCACUGAGCCAAGACCCAGGACCAUAUAUUAAUUUUUAAAAAGGAGAUUAAAAGGAGGAAAAAUUGAGAAAGAAAAAAAAUGAAGAGAUCGAAUUUGAGAUAAAAUGAGCUUUAGAAAAUAUGUAAAGAAGUACGAACAUUAUGUAUAAUAAUAUUCAGAGUAUACAAAGAACUCAAAAAAUUAGACAAUAAGUUAACAAAUAACCCAAUCAACAAAUGGGCCAAGGACCUGAACAGACACUUCUCAGAGGAGCACAUACAAUCAAUCAACAAGUACAUGAAAAAAUGCUCACCAUCUCUAGCAGUCAGAGAAAUGAAAAUCAAAACCACCCUAAGAUACCAUCUCACUCCAGUAAGAUUGGCAGCCAUUCUGAAGUCAAACAACAACAAGUGCUGGCGAGGAUGUGGGGAAAAGGGUACUCUUGUACAUUGCUGGUGGGACUGCAAAUUGGUGUNAUGGAAAUGGAAGGAGACCCUCAUUGUUAUACAAAAUUACAUAUAAGAGGUUGUGAGGGGAAUGGGAAAAAAAAAAACAAGGAGAGAAAUGAAUUACAGUAGAUGGGGUAGAGAGAGAAGAUGGGAGGGGAGGG
Molecule: long non-coding RNA, 2509 nt
Filed under: Marmota monax (woodchuck)
Lineage: Eukaryota; Metazoa; Chordata; Mammalia; Rodentia; Sciuridae
Source: RNAcentral